UGAGUACGAGAUGCUACGGCAUCGAAGCAGUCUAUGUCAUACUUCCAAGAAAAGCUUGCACUGUCAGAAACAGAUAAUGCCUGUACCAUAACCGACACAGGUGGGUAGGUAGAGUAUACUAAGGGGCGCGAGAUAACUCUCUCUAAGGAACUCGGCAAAAUGACUCCGUAACUUCGGGAGAAGGAGUGCCUUAUUUUUAAGGUUGCAAUAACAAGAUCCAAGCAACUGUUUACCAAAAACACAGGUCUCCGCUAAGUCGUAAGACGAUGUAUGGGGGCUGACGCCUGCCCAGUGCCAGAAGGUUAAAGAAGUCGGUUAGCAUUCGCGAAGCUGGUAACUGAAGCCCUGGUGAACGGCGGCCGUAACUAUAACGGUCCUAAGGUAGCGAAAUUCCUUGUCGGGUAAGUUCCGACCCGCACGAAAGGCAUAAUGAUUUGGAUACUGUCUCGGAGAGGGGCUCGGUGAAAUAGACUUGUCUGUGAAGAUGCGGACUACCUGCACCUGGACAGAAAGACCCUAUGAAGCUUUACUGUAACUUGAAAUUGAAAUUGGACUUUAUUUGCGCAGUAUAGGUGGGAGGCGUUGAAAAUAUUCUUGCGGGAAUAUUGGAGCCAUCAGUGAGAUACCACUCUUGUAAUGUUAGAUUUCUAACUUUAUAUCAUAUCUGGUUAAAGAACAGUUUCAGGCGGGCAGUUUGACUGGGGCGGUCGCCUCCCAAAUGGUAACGGAGGCGCACAAAGGUUUCCUCUGAACGGGUAGAAAUCGUAUCUAGAGUGUAAAGGCAUAAGGAAGCUUGACUGUGAGACCUACAAGUCGAGCAGGGACGAAAGUCGGUCUUAGUGAUCCGACGGUGCUGAGUGGAAAGGCCGUCACUCAACGGAUAAAAGUUACUCUAGGAUAACAGGCUGAUCUCCCCCAAGAGUUCACAUCGACGGGGAGGUUUGGCACCUCGAUGUCGGCUCAUCGCAUCCUGGGGCGGUAGUACGUCCCAAGGGUUGGGCUGUUCGCCCAUGAAAGCGGUACGCGAGCUGGGUUCAGAACGUCGUGAGACAGUUCGGUCCAUAUCCGGUGUAGGCGUUAGAAUAUUGAGAGGAGCCUUCUUUAGUACGAGAGGACCGAGAAGGACAUACCUCUGGUGUACCAGUUAUCGUGCCAACGGUAAACGCUGGGUAGCUAUGUAUGGAGUGGAUAACCGCUGAAAGCAUCUAAGUGGGAAGCCCACCUCAAGAUAAG
This 1233-nucleotide ribosomal RNA is filed under the name metagenome. RNAcentral describes it as "bacterial LSU rRNA". It matches the Rfam family "Bacterial large subunit ribosomal RNA", at positions 1564 to 2808 of the family's 2925-position model. The record is from RNAcentral.